UGGGGAAUAUUGGACAAUGGACCAAGAGUCUGAUCCAGCAAUUCUGUGUGCACGAUGAAGUUUUUCGGAAUGUAAAGUGCUUUCAGUUGGGAAGAAGAAAGUGACGGUACCAACAGAAGAAGCGACGGCUAAAUACGUGCCAGCAGCCGCGGUAAUACGUAUGUCGCAAGCGUUAUCCGGAUUUAUUGGGCGUAAAGCGCGUCUAGGCGGCAUAGUAAGUCUGAUGUGAAAAUGCGGGGCUCAACUCCGUAUUGCGUUGGAAACUGCUAUGCUAGAGUACUGGAGAGGUAAGCGGAACUACAAAUGUAGAGGUGAAAUUCGUAGAUAUUUGUAGGAAUGCCGAUGGGGAAGCCAGCUUACUGGACAGAUACUGACGCUAAAGCGCGAAAGCGUGGGUAGCAAACAGG
This 407-nucleotide ribosomal RNA is filed under the name uncultured Fusobacterium sp. RNAcentral's name for it is "bacterial SSU rRNA". It matches the Rfam family "Bacterial small subunit ribosomal RNA", at positions 355 to 776 of the family's 1533-position model. Lineage: Bacteria; Fusobacteriati; Fusobacteriota; Fusobacteriia; Fusobacteriales; Fusobacteriaceae. The record is from RNAcentral.